GCCCCGUUCGACUAGAGGCUUAGGUCACCACCUUCUCACGGUGGAGACAGCGGUUCGAAUCCGCUACGGGGCU
Molecule: transfer RNA, 73 nt
Filed under: Thalassospira xiamenensis
Lineage: Bacteria; Pseudomonadati; Pseudomonadota; Alphaproteobacteria; Rhodospirillales; Thalassospiraceae
Description: tRNA_Glu_CTC
Rfam family: tRNA
About the family: Transfer RNA (tRNA) molecules are approximately 80 nucleotides in length.
Source: RNAcentral